CUAUAGUCUAGACUAUAAACUAUACUAUAGACUAUAGACUAUAAAGUGGAAUAUAGUCCACAUAGUAAUUUAGAAUAUAAACUAAAAUAUAGUCAAGAUUACAAUCUGGUCUAUACACUAGACCACAGUCCGAUUUACAGUCCACAUAUAAACUAAACUAUAUUUCACACUAGGCUAGAUAAUAUUCCUGACUAUAGACUAGAUUGUACUCCAGACCCUAGUCUACUAGUAUUUUCUAUAAAAAUUGAGUUUCCCUUAACCGUUUCGUUAAAGUCGCUACUGUGAAAAUGUUUGUUAAAUAAAUUAUUAAAUAUUUAAAAAAAAUUAAACUGUAUUAAAUAUGCAUGUUGUUUAUUUAUUUGGUAAUUUAUUAAUUUACUACUUAAGUUGUUUAUUUGUUUAUGUUCUAUUUAAACUAAUUUUUAUUUAAAACAAAUAAUUUGGUUUUUUAUAAAAAUAGCUCAACAGUUGUGAGGCAUAAUUAAGCAAAUAUUUGAAUUAAAAUUAAUAUUGACUUAAAUUUAAUAUAAAAACAUAAAAGUUUUGCGUAAUUAAUUUACUUAUGUGUUUUUUUCACAAAAUUUUAUUUCGUUUCAAGAACCAGUACUUAGUAGAGAAGAUAUACAUAUAACAUUAUCGCCUGGUGAAAAUAGAAUAAUACAUUCAUGGAUUGUUUCGUGACAACAUGCGAAUAGAUCAUAAUCGUUUGUAAAGGAUUGUGAUCUUAAGAUGAGAAAAGGGUCUCGGUUUAUGGUUUGGUCCAAGUUUGGUGGCUUUAAUUUAAAUAUUUUGUAUUUUUUUUUUAUACUUAAAUUUAAAUAAUUCUAGGUUAUUAUUUUGUAAUAUAGAAAUUUUAAAAGUUUGCCUUAACAGCAAUUUAAACUGUAAUUAGUAACUAUUUGUAAAUAAUCAAAAGAAGAAUCAAAAAUUUUAACAAAAUUUAAAUUAAUUUUUUAUUUAUUUAAUAGAAAUGCUGCUGGCAGCUUUAUGUGAUGUAAUUUUAAUAAAAUAAAACUGUAAACUAUUCGUAAAUAAA
Molecule: long non-coding RNA, 1036 nt
Organism: Lucilia sericata (common green bottle fly)
Lineage: Eukaryota; Metazoa; Arthropoda; Insecta; Diptera; Calliphoridae
Exons: 2
Source: RefSeq, a predicted model, not a curated record